Athalia rosae (coleseed sawfly) is the source of this 1006-nucleotide long non-coding RNA. RefSeq lists it as uncharacterized. The record is from RefSeq and is a predicted model, not a curated record. Lineage: Eukaryota; Metazoa; Arthropoda; Insecta; Hymenoptera; Athaliidae. The transcript is spliced from 3 exons.
CCGACUAAAUUGCAUUUUGUGUCACGGUCUGGCGCAGGAUGUUGUUUGCUCUUACGGAGUUGUCUGCGGUAAUGGUUAUUUAAAGGCAAAAUGUGCAUUCGAUAAGAUCAGUUGGCGGAUUGCACCAACGCGAACUGAAUUCAAUUGAAGGAGAUAACGGAAAAAUACAUUAUUUCGAACCACAGCGUGCGCACUUUUAUGCAACAACAAUUGAUCAUGAUCACGCCUAUAUGCACAUCGUCUAAAUCAGCGGACUGACAAUGCUCCGAUAUUUCAUGAAACUGCCACCCAACAAACUGGCAAGCUGCUGUAAAUACGAAUGAAGGGAGGAAAGAGAGGCGGCGGAAAAAGGGCUGCUGUACUCUUUUAAUUGAGUAUCAAGUACGAAGAACUUUAAAGAAGCGUCAACAAACUAGAAGCGUGUCGCCCGACAAGCUGGUGCACUGCAGUAUGUGCAUAUGCGAGAUGAGUACAUUAAAUUGAAACUGGUUAGAUCCAAACGCCUCUGGAUUAAUCCGGCAAAUGUAUUCGUCGAGUUCUAAUUGCUUAAUUCGUGCCGAUUAAUUUUAGGGACUCUUUUCGAUUAGGCUUCAUCUAUCGAAAUAUAUCCAACGUGCUUUAAUACACUUUAAAUCUUCCACCGGAGACGGUGUAACCAUUCGACACGUGGACGGUGACUUUUUUUUUUAUUUUACUUCUCAAAUCACAAAUUUGAAUUGAUUGCAUAAUUAUUCGAUUACUUGUCAAUUGUUCGAUUAAUCGGUGAAAGGGGUUAUUCUUUGAAUAGCCGAUUAAAUUUUUUGUGUCAAUUAAUCACAAUUUGAGUUAUACUUACGAUACUUGCGGACCAUUUUCUGAGCUGUUCAAGAACGGGAUGAUUUUGGAAAGUGGGCAAAAUGAGACUGACAAAAUUCACAAUAUUAAAUAAGAAUUAAUAUACGUAUAAUAUAUACUGUGUGAGUUUGAAACUCAUCGGGUAUCUACCGUCAUAACACCCGAAGAUUAA